RNAcentral lists this ribosomal RNA (497 nucleotides) under uncultured bacterium. Its description in RNAcentral is "partial 16S ribosomal RNA". It matches the Rfam family "Bacterial small subunit ribosomal RNA", at positions 28 to 507 of the family's 1533-position model. The record is from RNAcentral.
GACGAACGCUGGCGGCGUGCCUAAUACAUGCAAGUUGAGCGCUGAAGGUUGGUACUUGUACCAACUGGAUGAGCAGCGCACGGGUGAGUAACGCGUGGGGAAUCUGCCUUUGAGCGGGGGACAACAUUUGGAAACGAAUGCUAAUACCGCAUAAAAACUUUAAACACAAGUUUUAAGUUUGAAAGAUGCAAUUGCAUCACUCAAAGAUGAUCCCGCGUUGUAUUAGCUAGUUGGUGAGGUAAAGGCUCACCAAGGCGAUGAUACAUAGCCGACCUGAGAGGGUGGACGGCCACAUUGGGACUGGGACACGGCCCAAACUCCUGCGGGGAGCAGCAGUAGGGAAUCUUCGGCAAUGGACGAAAGUCUGACCGAACAACGCCGCGUGAGUGAAGAAGGUUUUCGGGUCGGAAAACUCUGUUUGUAGGGAAGAACGUUGGUGAGAGUGGAAAGCUCAUCAAGUGACGGUAACUACCCAGAAAGGGACGGCUAACUACGUG